This 501-nucleotide ribosomal RNA is filed under the name uncultured bacterium. Its description in RNAcentral is "bacterial SSU rRNA". It matches the Rfam family "Bacterial small subunit ribosomal RNA", at positions 28 to 521 of the family's 1533-position model. The record is from RNAcentral.
GACGAACGCUGGCGGCGUGGAUUAGGCAUGCAAGUCGAACGGUAUCAUCCUUUCGGGGGUGAGAGAGUGGCGAACUGGUGAGUAACACGUAGGUUAUCUACCCUCAAGACGGGGACAACCCAGGGAAACUUGGGCUAAUACCGGAUGUGAGCAACUUUUUAGUUGUUUGAAAGGUGGCGUAAGCUGUCGCUUGGGGAUGAGCCUGCGUCCUAUUAGUUAGUUGGUGAGGUAACGGCUCACCUAGGCAAUGAUAGGUAGGCGGCCUUAACGGGUGGUCGCCCACACUGGGAUUGAGAUACGGCCCAGACUCCUACGGGAGGCAGCAGUCGAGAAUAGUCUACAAUGGUCGGAAGACUGAUAGUGCGACGCCGCGUGAACGAUGAAUCCCUUCGGGGUGUAAAGUUCUUUUAUAUGUGAGCAGUGCUUCUUAUAUUAACAGUAUGGGGAAGAGAUAUUAGCAUAUGAAUAAGCAACGGCUAACUCCGUGCCAGCAGCCGCAGU